Molecule: long non-coding RNA, 215 nt
Organism: Stylophora pistillata
Lineage: Eukaryota; Metazoa; Cnidaria; Anthozoa; Scleractinia; Pocilloporidae
Source: RefSeq, a predicted model, not a curated record
AGCCUGUAAUUCUAUAUAUCAAGGAAGAAAAGAGAGCUGAAGAAAAACAUAUCAUUCACUGAUUAAGGAGAGCACAAAGUCAUUGCGAUUUGCGUUAUGCAAGUUUCUGUUUUCCGGUGAUGAAAGCUAGACAUCAAAUUCGCCCGUUUGAACCUUGAGUCCUUUGAUAUAAAAGACGAGUUGUGGGAGUGUGUGAGAGUAGAGAGGGAGAGAGU